GGAGUCUGGGCCGUAUCUCAGUCCCAAUGUGGCCGUUGAACCUCUCAGUCCGGCUACUGAUCGUCGUCUUGGUAGGCCGUUACCCCACCAACUAACUAAUCAGGCGCAAGCCCAUCUGUUAGCGGAUUGCUCCUUUCCCACUAUGGAGAUGUCUCCAUUAUGGCAUAUGCGGUAUUAGCAACGAUUUCUCGCUGUUAUUCCCCUCUAACAGGCAGGUUGCUUACGUGUUACUCACCAGUCCGCCACUAAAGCCAUUGUUGUAAGUCAAUAUCAAAUCCCAUUGAACAAGUUCUCAGUUCAUGUCAACAUCAUUACAACGACUUCCGUUCGACUUGCAUGUCUUAUGUGCGCCGCCAGCGUUUAUC
This 365-nucleotide ribosomal RNA is filed under the name uncultured Oscillospiraceae bacterium. RNAcentral describes it as "partial 16S ribosomal RNA". Lineage: Bacteria; Bacillati; Bacillota; Clostridia; Eubacteriales; Oscillospiraceae. The record is from RNAcentral.